UACGAAGGGGGCUAGCGUUGUUCGGAAUUACUGGGCGUAAAGCGUGCGCAGGCGGCUGCUCAAGUCAGGGGUGAAAGCCCAGAGCUCAACUCUGGAACUGCCUUUGAGACUGAGUGGCUUGAGUACGGGAGAGGUGAGUGGAAUUCCCAGUGUAGAGGUGAAAUGCGUAGAGAUCGGGAGGAACACCUGUGGCGAAGGCGGCCACCUGGGCCGACCCUGACGCUGAGGCGCGAAAGCGUGGGGAGCAAACAGG
This 253-nucleotide ribosomal RNA is filed under the name uncultured bacterium. RNAcentral's name for it is "partial 16S ribosomal RNA". It matches the Rfam family "Bacterial small subunit ribosomal RNA", at positions 524 to 776 of the family's 1533-position model. The record is from RNAcentral.